UAUUUAGAGAGGAAUCCGUUCAGAGUGGACCAGCGCUUAACUGCGCGGACUGCUCUGGGCAGCCGAUUCCUCUUCUACUAUAAACACACUGUUUUCUUGGGGAGGGUACUGGUUUGGGCUGCCUUUCGGCGGCUCGCUUCGGGCCCCUCUUCUUUUUUAAACCAAAAUUUUACAAUUUUGUAUUUCUUUAAAAUUCAUGUCAAGAAUUAUUACUUUCGAGUAAACAAAAAUUCAAAACUUUCAGCAACGGAUCUCUUGGUUCUCGCAUCGAUGAAGAACGCAGCGAAUUGCGAUAAGUAAUGUGAAUUGCAGAUUUUCGUGAAUCAUCGAAUCUUUGAACGCAUAUUGCACUCUAUGGUAUUCCGUAGAGUAUGCCUGUUUGAGCGUCAUUUCUCUCUUAAACCCUUGGGUUUAGUAUUGGAAGAUGUAGGCGGCUUUUCGGAGCAGCCCACCCUUCUGAAAUGACUAGGCGGUAACCGACAGCUAAUUUAUUCCACGGUUAGGCUUUAAUAUUAGGUUUUACCACUUAUUAAAUACCCUUUUCCACUGGAUAGCGGUCUGGAGUGUCGCCGAAACAAAAUUUCAUAACACAAAUUUGACCUCAAAUCAG
RNAcentral lists this unclassified non-coding RNA (610 nucleotides) under Saccharomycopsis guyanensis. Its description in RNAcentral is "sequence contains ITS1, 5.8S rRNA gene and ITS2". The stretch from base 236 to 389 matches the Rfam family "5.8S ribosomal RNA". Lineage: Eukaryota; Fungi; Ascomycota; Saccharomycetes; Ascoideales; Saccharomycopsidaceae. The record is from RNAcentral.